This is a long non-coding RNA of Lagenorhynchus albirostris (white-beaked dolphin), 541 nucleotides long. RefSeq lists it as uncharacterized. The record is from RefSeq and is a predicted model, not a curated record. The transcript is spliced from 3 exons. NCBI's taxonomy places the organism in Eukaryota, Metazoa, Chordata, Mammalia, Artiodactyla, Delphinidae.
AGGAAGUGAAUUUGAACUUUGAACCUCACCUAGUUUGAAUCCUACCUCUAUUGUUUUCUAUCUCUAUGACUUAGGUGUUGAAGUUCCUGGGAGAGGGCAACUUUAAUUUAUAAAGAGUCGUUAACAUUCACUUCCUCUAACAAAAGCCUUUAAAGAAUGACAACUUGGUGAAAAAAACCCUGUGGUAUAUACCAAAUACCAAGAUAUGCAUCCUCUGCCCAUCCUCAUUUGUGUAUUCCCACUCAUCCCAUCAUAAUUAGAUUCUGCCACUUUUCUCCUCAGCCCUGUAACAGUCUCAUGUCUACUCACUUCCCAUCUCUUCCCCAUCUUUUAGUCUCAAAUACAGUUCAUACAUACGGAACGUCACCUGAAUGAUGUUCAUUACUGAUGGCUGCUUGCUUUCUUAAGAAUGCUUAAAAGAUGCAGUGUUGGAAGAGAAAACUGUCACCACCUGCUGACUUGUGCCCAAAGUCUCAGAGGCUGAAACUUCUGCUUUCAUAAAUGGGGAGGCCCAGCACAGAAGUGAAAUGAAAAAGUGCCA